RNAcentral lists this ribosomal RNA (798 nucleotides) under uncultured bacterium. RNAcentral describes it as "bacterial SSU rRNA". It matches the Rfam family "Bacterial small subunit ribosomal RNA", at positions 8 to 794 of the family's 1533-position model. The record is from RNAcentral.
AGAGUUUGAUCAUGGCUCAGGAUGAACGCUAGCGGCAGGCCUAACACAUGCAAGUCGAGGGGCAGCAUUAAGAARUAGCAAUAUUUUUUAGAUGGCGACCGGCGCACGGGUGCGUAACGCGUAUGCAACCUGCCCUUAACCGGGGGAUAAUCCGAAGAAAUUUGGUCUAAUACCCCGUAACAGAUGAAACGGCAUCGUUUUGUUUUGAAAGCUUCGGCGGUUAAGGAUGGGCAUGCGUGAUAUUAGUUAGAUGGUGAGGUAACGGCUCACCAUGACUACGAUAUCUAGGGGAACUGAGAGGUUAAUCCCCCACACUGGUACUGAGACACGGACCAGACUCCUACGGGAGGCAGCAGUGAGGAAUAUUGGUCAAUGGAGGGAACUCUGAACCAGCCAUGCCGCGUGCAGGAGGACGGCUCUAUGAGUUGUAAACUGAUUUUGUACCGGGGUAAAAACACYUACGUGUAGGUGGUUGAAAGUACGGUACGAAUAAGGAUCGGCUAACUCCGUGCCAGCAGCCGCGGUAAUACGGAGGAUCCGAGCGUUAUCCGGAUUUAUUGGGUUUAAAGGGUGCGUAGGUUGUUUUAUAAGUUAGCGGUGAAAUACCGGUGCUCAACAUCGGGGCUGCCGCUAAUACUGUAGGACUUGAGAGGGGUUGCAGCAGGCGGAAUGUGUAGUGUAGCGGUGAAAUGCUUAGAUAUUACACAGAACACCGAUUGCGAAGGCAGCUUGCUAAGCCCGCUCUGACACUGAGGCACGAAAGCGUGGGGAUCAAACAGGAUUAGAUACCCUGGUAGU